Molecule: ribosomal RNA, 253 nt
Filed under: uncultured bacterium
Lineage: Bacteria
Description: partial 16S ribosomal RNA
Rfam family: Bacterial small subunit ribosomal RNA
Source: RNAcentral
UACGUAGGUGGCAAGCGUUGUCCGGAUUUAUUGGGCGUAAAGGGAACGCAGGCGGUCUUUUAAGUCUGAUGUGAAAGCCUUCGGCUUAACCGAAGUAGUGCAUUGGAAACUGGAAGACUUGAGUGCAGAAGAGGAGAGUGGAACUCCAUGUGUAGCGGUGAAAUGCGUAGAUAUAUGGAAGAACACCAGUGGCGAAAGCGGCUCUCUGGUCUGUAACUGACGCUGGGGUUCGAAAGCGUGGGUAGCAAACAGG